Molecule: long non-coding RNA, 4346 nt
Organism: Dromaius novaehollandiae (emu)
Lineage: Eukaryota; Metazoa; Chordata; Aves; Casuariiformes; Dromaiidae
Exons: 5
Source: RefSeq, a predicted model, not a curated record
CUCUGACACAGACUGGCAGGUACGGUGAACGAGUGGUCACAUGAAAAAUAAUUCAGCAGAGACAGCUACUCUCAUAUCAUCCAGAAGGUGAAACAGGAAGAAAAGAAUAGGACACCAGUUCCUCAGGAGCAGGACACUGGAAACAAACUGUCUUCCUACUUUCAAGUACAACCUUGGUCAUCUGGCAUUAUGACUUACUGCAAACAAAUGUAUUUCUCAGAAAAAAGAGAGAGCAAAAUCUCCAUUGCUUACAUCUUCAGAAACAAAUUUCUCCAGUGUUUGUGUUUAAAACUGUGACAGGAUUACCAAGAACACAUCUUGGGCAUCAGUCCCUGCUGUUUCAGGAAGACUGCAGUGACGACUAUUUGACAGUACAAGACACCCUUGACAGAUUGGAGCCAGAAUACUAAGAUGGGGAGAAACAGAGUAAGAAAAAUAAUUUGGCUAAACAGAGCCUUCCGAGUGAAUGCAAACUCUGUGAACUCUGAAUGUGAGCCCAUUUAAAUUAAUGUAAGCAUCCAUUUAUUUAUAAUUCUAUUAUCAAAAUCUGGCCAUUACUUAUAACAGCAUAAAUGAAAAAGGAGUUUUAGAGAUUUGGAAGCCAAAUGACAGACUAUGGACGUCAAUGGGUUUGAACUGGUCUCUAGAGUUGAAGAAUUAACAUUUAAAUAAUUAUACUACCUAGGAGUACAAGAGUGCAAUCUAGCUGUACGAUAGAUAUCAGUCAUUUUGUUUUUAAAAAUGCUUGAAACAAGAGCAAGUAUCAGCCAGAUUCUGAAAUGUAAUAUUUCAUUGCAACUGAAAUGAGAAACUGAGAACAUGAAAACAGUAUCUUCAGUAGAAGCAUUUUUUUUUGUCAAAUUAAAAAAAAAAAAAAACUUUGAUAGGGUAGAGUUGAAGUCUUAGGAGAGUAUGCAGUUCAUUUUUAAUCUCAUUUUUAAAGCAAUCGUGCUUAUUGUGCCGACAUGUAUGCGUGUGAAUCUGUCUGUGUCUUUGUGUCUUUUGGAAGUCAGUUUUAACAUCUGACAUAAAGCAGCAGCAGUCUUCAAGAAAUUCUGCUGCUACCAGUCUGGUCCAUGCAAUACCUGGCUCAAGAGCUGCAUGCGGUCCCCAAAGCCCUUUGGCCAACCCAGCAGGUAAGCGGCGAAGCAUCAGCCGAGGCUCGCGGAGCAGCCAGCCUGGGCAGUCGGCACGAGUAGUCUGCCUGAAGAUGCAGGUCGGUCCAGACCAGCCACAGAACAUAAGGUCCCUUGUCCAGCCAUCAGAGAAAACACGGGCAGAGGAUGUGACAAGGAGAUCGGGUACCCCAGUGGGGAAGGUACAGAGGGCACAAGGGAGACGUGAGACCGUUCAGACAGACAAUGAGAAAAACAGACUAUAUUCUGUUAUUCACAGAACUGCUUGCUCAAACAAUAAUUCAGUCUAUCUCUGCCUACUUCAAAAUUUUCAAAAGUAUGAACACAACAAAAAGGGGAAAAAAAAUCUCUCGAAACUUCCAGAAUAUGAGUUUAACAUUAAAAUGAUUUCCAGACUGGUACAACCUGUCCACACCCAAUCUUAUGGAUUUUAAAAACUGCUAAAUGCUGCAUUUUUAGAGGUAGCUCUGUAUUAUAUAGUGUUUUGAAGAUGAAAUGUAGUCUUGUAGUUAAAACAUAAAUGGAGCAUCCUGGAGUAUAAACAAGAAUUUGAGAGAGGAGAGUUCUCUUUUAAGAAUUUCCUCUGUAACCUUUAGCAAAUCACUUAAUCUUUCUGUGCCUCCAUUCCUCAUAUUUAAAACAGUGUAAAUACUUUCUGGGAAGAUAAAAGCUGUCAUAUGUGUCCUGGGUUUUUUACAACUACAAGUCAUAGAAAAUCCUCUAGUUAAAACAUUAAAACCAUUUCUUACAAAUAUUAAAGAUCAAUUUUUUGUUAUACAGAAUAAAACUGCUGAAAAUAUUCUCUUUCAAUGUGUCAUACCUGUUAAGCAGUUUAAUUCUUUAUGUAAGAAGUGAUCAUGUUGAGUCCACAGCUUUAUCUUUUUUAAAAAUUAGCUUUACAAAUUAACGAGAAAUCUAUAAAAGUUCAUCUAUAGUAAGUUCCUAACUGUAUUAUCCAGAUAGAGAUAACAAGAAUCCCAGACAUAAAGCUCACGACCCCAUCUGAGACUAUAGGGUAGAUCACUUUUCACAUAACGUUUGAACAGACCAUAAAGAGUUCAUGUUUCACUGUCAUACAUUCAGGAUGUAUGACAAAUGAUGACUACUACAUAUAUGUAACUUAGAUGAAGAUAAAAGUGCUUUGGCAAAUGCAGCAGCUAUGCUAACUGUUAUGUUCUUUUGACUUCAAUCCUUUUUCAGGUGUUAACAUAUACUUAAUCCAAUUGGUUUAGUAAUUCCCACUUUGGUAUUAAAUAAAUCAGUGAAAAAAGCUGGAAGACAUCAUAAAAUAGUAUGAUUGCUAACAGAAGAUGAGCCAGAAGAUGAGCCUGAUGAUGUAGUGAAAAUCUGUCACUCACUGAUAUGAGUUUGGAUUCUGAACUGAAGCCUGAGCUGUUGAAUCACAGAGGCUGGAAAACUGGCAAAGGCAUAACGUUAUGCUCCCAAACAGGGUGUGUGGCAUAGUGAAAAAACUCCUGGCAUCAUUCGCAGGUGAAUAUUUUGGCUCAUGUAAAGACUGGCUUCAACAAGUUCUGAAGGAAGCUACGUUCAGUCCUUCUCCACAGGGGAACAUACUUCUGCAGCAUGGGGCCUCUGAUGGGACGCUGGGUAGGAGUUUUCUUAGGAGACACCUGAGAGAGCUGUGGACCUAACUGGAGAUAAACUUGAAAUGAGGAACUACAUCUCUUGGACGAUUUGAAACUUUUAUGCUUAAAUAUGAGCAUUUUAGAUUGCAUGUAGCUGUAUAUAAAAAGAAUAAAUAGAAGUAACUGACCGGGGAAAGAACACGGGGAAAAAUUCAGUGGGGAGAAUAAGAUAGCGACAGCAGAACUGAUGUAUUUUUCUGUCCUUUCCUUAGAAAAUGAGAAAAAAUUCUUGUAACUUAAGGUGUCAUUAUUUUCUCAUUUUACUGUACUUGAGAUGAUAUCCUCUACAAUGUGAGCUUGCAGAAGUAAUUUGAUGGGAAAAGAGAGCUUUUACAAAUCUGAUAUUAACAGACACUCAAACAUCAAACACCCAAGUUAGAUGAAUAGUUACAUUACCUUUAUUUAAUUUAACAUUACAUGCAUAUUAGACACUGAUUCAUACUGUUCAUUUGCACAAGUAAUCAUUCUUCUUGUACAAAUAAGAACCAUUGCUCUUAUGGUGAAAUUCAGUAGCAUGUGGUGCACAGACUGGUGUGCAAAGUUACUGUUUUCAGUUAGAAAAUUGUAUUAAGGUCAUGAUUUCUAAAUGAAUAUUAUACAUAGUUUAAUUUUGGUUUUAUGCAGACAUUGCAUAGUUGAUUAUUAGUUUCUAAUGAAAGACUGGAAGUGUGGUAUCAGUACUGUUGAAGCAGAUCAAGUGACAGUAGCAAACAAGAAGAUUUGAAGAAGAGGCAUAACCUUCAGGGUUGAAAGGUCAGCAAGUACAGCCUGAGGUAAAAAACAAAAAGGGUUGUUAAACUUGACAUUUGAAUCAAAUUUCUUUAAAGCAGCAAAGAAGUCUGAAAAAGAUUCAAAUGCAGACUACAAUACUAACAAUAAUUAGGCUGUUUGGAUCUGUCUGGAAACAAAUUGUGCUGUUUUAUGCAAGUGUGAAGAGGUUUCUCUUGCCUUAUUUUUCAUUUUAAUAUUUUGAAGAAAAAAUAUAUAUCUAGGUAUAUAAACCAAGUAACUUUAUUGUAGCCUUUAGACUUUCUUCAAAUAUACAUGGCAUCAUGAGUGUGUAAGAGGUCUAACAUUUCAACUUGCUUCUAAAAAUAAUUGGGAAUUAAGAAUCCUUAUCCUGUGGCUUGGCUAGUACUUGUAAAGUAAGUCCAAUGUAAUGACUCAAAUAGUCAAUGUCUUGUGAUGAAUGUAUGUUUAAAAGAAAAAAGAAAAAGAGUCAUCACAAGCCUUCAGUGUUUGAAAAAAUACAUAUCAUCAGAUUUUUGGAAAAAAUAUACUUUAACAAACUACUAGAUAUAAAAAACAAUCAUCUUCAUCUUAAUCAUUUCAUUCUCUUGAUUUCACAUCUGUAUUUACAGUGAAAUUUUAGAUUUAAUAUUGAUAAAAGUAACCUUGUAAAAUCUCAGUAAAACCAAAAAAAAAAAAAAAAGAUGCAACUACCUUAAAAUGUACUGGCAAGAAAGGUACAAAUCUCCCCAACAUUUUAAAAACAAUAUACCCCCAAAACAUUAAACAUUAUUCAUUGAAAUAAUAAUAAUAAAAAAUAUCAUUUUACGAAGUU